This 400-nucleotide ribosomal RNA is filed under the name uncultured bacterium. RNAcentral's name for it is "bacterial SSU rRNA". It matches the Rfam family "Bacterial small subunit ribosomal RNA", at positions 362 to 776 of the family's 1533-position model. The record is from RNAcentral.
UAUUGCACAAUGGGGGGAACCCUGAUGCAGCGACGCCGCGUGAGCGAAGAAGUAUCUCAGUAUGUAAAGCUCUAUCAGCAGGGAAGAAAGAAAUGACAGUAACUGACUAAGAAGCACCGACUAACUACGUGCCAGCAGCCGCGGUAAUACGUAGGGGGCAAGCGUUAUCCGGAUUUACUGGGUGUAAAGGGAGCGUAGGCGGCUUAGUAAGUCAGAAGUGAAAGCCCGCAGCUCAACUGCGGGACUGCUUUUGAAACUGCCAGGCUAGAGUGUCGGAGAGGUAAGUGGAAUUCCUAAUGUAGCGGUGAAAUGCGUAGAUAUUAGGAGGAACACCAGUGGCAACGGCGGCUUACUGGACGAUGACUGACGCUGAGGCUCGAAAGCGUGGGGAGCAAACAGG